Molecule: ribosomal RNA, 602 nt
Filed under: Poecilimon kusnezovi
Lineage: Eukaryota; Metazoa; Arthropoda; Insecta; Orthoptera; Tettigoniidae
Description: partial 12S ribosomal RNA
Rfam family: Microsporidia small subunit ribosomal RNA (bases 181-593)
Source: RNAcentral
GUAGGAUAGAAAUAAAUUGUAUUAGUUAAAAGUUAAACGGAGAAAUUAGGAGAAUAGUUKAUUUUAUAGGUAAAACUUGUAAAAUUAAAUAUUUCUUAAAAUGGGAGGUUGAAGCUUUGAAAAUUGAAGUUAAAASUAGGAUUAGAUACCCUAUUAUUUUAAUUGUAAAAGAGGAGGCUUGRGUAGUAUYAGUUAAGUGCUUGAAACACAAAGAAUUUGGCGGUGUCUUAGUCUUUUCAGAGGAAUCUGUCCUWUAAUUGAUAUUACACGUUAAAUGUUACUUAAUUURGUAUAGUCAAUUUGUAUACCGCCGUCAUAAGAUCAUYUUUUUAGAGAAAGAAUUUUCUUAAUACCUAUAAUAAGAUAGUAUGUCAGGUCAAGGUGCAGUUUAUAAUUAUGUAGGAGAUGGAUUACAAUAAAUUUAUUUAAAUGGAUUUUCUGUUCAAAAAUGGAGAUGAAGGUGGAUUUGAAGGUAAUUUUGUUAAAUUAUGAUAGAAUGAAUGAAGCUCUAGGACAUGUACACAUCGCCCGUCGCYCUCGUUAUUAAGAUGAGAUAAGUCGUAACAUAGUAGUCGUACUGGAAAGUGUGGUUAGAAAGUCAA